UAGUCCACGCCGUAAACGAUGUCUGCUAGCCGUUGGCGACUUUAUGUUGCUAGUGGCGAAGCUAACGCGAUAAGCAGACCGCCUGGGGAGUACGGCCGCAAGGUUAAAACUCAAAUGAAUUGACGGGGGCCCGCACAAGCGGUGGAGCAUGUGGUUUAAUUCGAUGCAACGCGAAGAACCUUACCAGGCCUUGACAUCCCGAGAAGUCGCUAGAGAUAGCUUCGUGCCUUCGGGCACUCGGUGACAGGUGCUGCAUGGCUGUCGUCAGCUCGUGUCGUGAGAUGUUGGGUUAAGUCCCGUAACGAGCGCAACCCUUAUCCUUAGUUGCCAUCAUUUAGUUGGGCUCUCUAAGGAGACUGCCGGGGUCAACCCGGAGGAAGGUGGGGAUGACGUCAAGUCCUCAUGGCCCUUAUGUCCUGGGCUACACACGUGCUACAAUGGUUGAUACAAAGCGCUGCGAAGCCGCGAGGUGGAGCGAAUCGCAAAAAGCCAG
Molecule: ribosomal RNA, 493 nt
Filed under: uncultured bacterium
Lineage: Bacteria
Description: bacterial SSU rRNA
Rfam family: Bacterial small subunit ribosomal RNA
Source: RNAcentral